GGAGUUGCAGGUGUUAGCUCCUUUAGAACAACUGAUCCAUCCUUUAGCAGGUAGGGAAGGAUCUUCCUGUAUGGUACUGGCAAUGGAUCAAAAUGUCUUUCUGCUCUUCUUGCCCUCUGCUGGUUAGGUUGACGUUGUUGUGGAGCAUUUUGUUGUUGACUCUGAUGCGGCUGCUGGUACGCUGGCUGUUGGUACGGAUGUUGAUGUUAUUG
This 212-nucleotide long non-coding RNA is filed under the name Lathyrus oleraceus (garden pea). RNAcentral's name for it is "Pisum sativum (pea) long non-coding RNA (PSAT_LNC009771)". Lineage: Eukaryota; Viridiplantae; Streptophyta; Magnoliopsida; Fabales; Fabaceae. The record is from RNAcentral.